GCCCUGAGGAGAGAUGUCUUCCUUCAGUGCAGCAGACCCCAGGGAGGUGUGGAUGGAGCUCCUGAGUGUCAGAGUUAUCUCACCAACUUGGAGGAAACUGAAUACCUACAGGACACAGGCAUAAAGCAGAGACAAAUCCGAGUGGUUAAUCUCUCUUCCCCCCCUUUCCCAGCCUCGGGGGCUGGGGGGCGACGGAGGAGGGAGCAAGCACCAGCCCAGAGCCGGGCCAGGCCUCCCCGGGGAGGGGCUGAGGCAGCGGCUGGGCUGCGGGAGCUGCAUGGAGGAGGGGAGUUUCACAGACUCCUCUGCCCGGCCGGGAGGAGAAGGAGGAGGAGGAAGUUUGGAGAUUAAGCCGCUGCCCGGAGCUCGAGCGCACGGAGUGAGCCGAGGCGCGGCCACGGGCGCUGCGAGGGGGA
This 416-nucleotide long non-coding RNA is filed under the name Corvus moneduloides (New Caledonian crow). RNAcentral describes it as "lncRNA (ENSCMUG00000016937.1)". The record is from RNAcentral. Lineage: Eukaryota; Metazoa; Chordata; Aves; Passeriformes; Corvidae.